Molecule: long non-coding RNA, 890 nt
Filed under: Oryctolagus cuniculus (rabbit)
Lineage: Eukaryota; Metazoa; Chordata; Mammalia; Lagomorpha; Leporidae
Description: lncRNA (ENSOCUG00000036345.1)
Source: RNAcentral
AUGCUCUUCGAUCUGGCCACCAUGGACAAGUUCGCAUGUUUGGGCAGUCACCUCUUGUUCACCCACUCAAUCAUUUCUACUGUGGUCAGCCCUUGCAAGUUCUCAGCUCUACUGAAUCGGAAACUCUGGGGUGAUAUCCAGGACAUUGUGUUUUCAAGAGAGCUCCAGAUGCUUCUGAGGCACACUAAACUUCCCAAAGCUCUGGUUAUAGAUGUUGGACUCUGUUAUCUCACACUGCUAUGUACACACGGCUCGCAGAGAGAAGAAAUGAAAAGCCAACAGAUUUCUCCCUGAGAGAUUACAGGUAUGUGCCAAGGUUCCUAGGAAACUGCCAGCUCACCUCUCAUGACUAAUGACCUCUCCUGACAAGUGGACAAUAGACAUUCAAAGCAGUACUGCCACUGAUUAAAAGUAAAUUGCCACUUCUUAAGGAAUACUAGGUGUUGGGGCAUUGUGAGUAAAAACACUACUUGUGACAGAGGCAUCCUGUAUUGGUGCCAGUUUGUGUCCCAGAUGCUCCACUAAUGGCCUGGGAAGGGCAGUGGAAGAUGGCCCAAGUCCCUGGGCCCAUGCCACUGUGUGGGAGACACAGAUGAAGCUCUUGGCUCCUGGCUUCAGAUUGGCCCAGCUCUGACAAUCGCAGCCAUCUAGAGGUUGAACCAGUGGAUGGAAGAUCUCUCUGUGUCUCCCUGUCUAUGUGUAACUCUGACUUUCAAAUAAUUAAAUUAAUGGAUCUUUUUUAAAAAGAGAGAACACAAGGCAUUCAUAGGUAAAAUCAGACCUCCUUCCAUCUGCAGAUGUGGAGCUAGAGCAAGCAAGUGAAGACUCUCAAACCCUUUGUAUAGAACAGGGAAAUCAGAUCAGCCAGACCAGUCACUCCUGCUCUCUGG